Molecule: transfer RNA, 85 nt
Filed under: Alphaproteobacteria bacterium
Lineage: Bacteria; Pseudomonadati; Pseudomonadota; Alphaproteobacteria
Description: tRNA-Leu
Rfam family: tRNA
About the family: Transfer RNA (tRNA) molecules are approximately 80 nucleotides in length.
Source: RNAcentral
GCGGGCGUGGCGAAACUGGCAGACGCGUCGGAUUUAGGUUCCGAUGGGGAAACUCAUGGGGGUUCAAGUCCCUCCGCCCGCACCA